GGAAGAGGUUGUUCAUCACGAGCUGGGGAAACAUCCCGACGGCAUGGAAGGUAACGCGGGGAAUGCCGAGGUCGGCGGCGAUGGCGACGGAGGAUCUCGUCGUGCGCGGUCUGGGCGAGGUCGACGGCCUUAUACACGCGCCAGGACUCGGAGGCAGGGGCGGUGGCGAGGUUCUCGACGCCGUCAGGGAGGCCGACGGAGGGGAACGGAAAGAGGAGGAGCCCGACGGGGCGGCCGGCGGCAGCGGAGCGGUCGAGGGUGGGGCGAACGAGGGCGGCGUUGGCGGGGGUGAGCACGAGGGUGGGCUCGAGGCCGGGGCGGGCUGCGAAGAGGCAGGCGAGGUCCACCAUAGGGAUCAUGUGGCCCGAGGCAAACAACGGGAUAAAGAACACCCGGAAGAAGUGACCAUUUGUAACACUAGUAUGCGCCACUCUUACAGGCUUCAAAUCCUCCCAUGGUUUUUAUAGACCUCUCCUUCCCGCCCUUGCGAACCCAUCGGAUCACGCACCGGUAAAUUUGCCUCACAUCGAAGGCAAAAUUAAUGUUCUUGUCGCUGUUCCCUCGUAACAAGAACUCGCACCGGUACCAACCAACCAAUGCCAACGUCGGCAGGUUCGUCUGUCACGUUAAUCAUCCGUUGGUCUCUCGUGAUUAACUCAUCUCAACCGUCUCUCGUGAUUAUCUCAUCUACUACUACCUUUCGUCACACAAUAUUUUUUCCCUCAUCACAUUAUAGGCUUCGUGUUGGGAAGGACCCUUCUCUCUCUCUCUCUCUCUCUCUCUCUCUCUCUCUGUGGACGAAAGACUGUUAAACAUGUGACCUUCGGCCUUUUCUGAGGUUAGGUGGGGAAUUUGCACCGCUCACAUUUUAUUUGCAUAACCUUUGCAGCAGUUAAUCACUGUUUCUUUCAUUAUAUAUAUAUAUAUAUAAGAAAUAACUCUAAGAAAAUUACAGCACUCUAUCUAUAAGAAAAACAAUUAGUUCUGUGCUUGGGGAGACGUGUAUCAAUCGCCUUCGGGUUUCACAUUUCAACAAAAAUGGAAAGAAGAAAGCAACCCAUCGUUUAUGGCGGGAAGGAAUACUGAGUGAUAAUGGAUAGUCUUCUGGGAUGUCCUCCGUGCCCAUAGCAGCGGCUUUUCUCCUUCAGCAUCAUAUGGAGUACGAAAAGGAGAUAUGGCCCGACGCGGACAGAGGAGAGAAGAAAGCCUUCAGGUGUGGCCAAAAUAUGAUAGGAAAGGCCCCCAUGAAAUGACUACACCCCGUCUUGUUUGCUUCCGCUUCUCCGCUGUCCGCCAUUAUUGCCCCCUCUUCUUCUUCUUCUUCUCCUUCAAUGUUAGCAACCGGAUCAGCUGGUCGACAGGGUUUGUGAUUCUGGAUUGAGACCUAACGAGCAAGAAUGCAACAGCGCUGCGUCUUCUUUCCCAACGUCGCUCUGCUUGCACCGGGAGGAAUCCGCUGCAUUUUUUGACGUCCCCUGCAGAUUCGAAGGUUUGGUAGCUCUAAGGUGUGCUUGAGUUGAGCGCAAUACGACUACGUGGGUUGGAGAUUGCAAUCUGUGCAUUUAAUGUUCGAGUGAUAGGACCAGAGCAGAAGGCACAGUACCAAACUGUGCAAGGUAUACUUUGCGACCUUCAUCAAAUACGUAGCUGCAUCCCUUUUGGUACGUACGACACGUAUCAUCUUCAGCUCGCCGCGGUGACUUAGCCAUGCGUUGUCAUCAUCAUCGUUAGGAAUUGAAUGGAACCACACUCGACUGAGAUGGACAUUUGAAGCACGUACAAUGAUUGAUCGCAUACCGUGGGCGGACGAGUCCUCCUGCCUUCUCACAUGGAGCAGGCGAACCCUGGGGACGUGGGUCCCACGCCAUUCAAUUAGCCGUCCUGUCACCGUGGAUUCGGGUUUGCCACUUCAUUUCCUGUCUGAAACCAAAAGAAGACGACGUCCCCACACGGGGCUCAAUAAUUCUUCGACCUUUCUUUCUUCUCUCUCCCUCACAUGCGCUCCCUCUCAUCCUCCGUCUGACUUGUCGAGGCCGUGCGAGACAGAGUAUCCACGUGCACACGCCCGCGCGAGUCAAAGCUCUUUACAGCUCCUCCGCCUCUCUCUUCAAGUCGGUUCCGUUCAAGGAGUCAGCGGUCCAUACGUGACUAUAUUGCUCGUUCUCCUCCCGUACACAUCAGCUUCACCCAGGCUACUGUUUCGGUAGAACAAUACAUUUCUUGCGAGUUGCGAGGCAUCCACUCAUCUGGUUUUCUGCUGGCUGUUGUUGCCUCCACGAGAAUGAUUGUUUCUCACCUGGCGAGACAUGGAUUCUCGCUGGCCUCUCCGCCUCCAACAACAAACCUCGUUCGUGGCGAUGCAUACUGCUUUGGCUUUCGUCUGACACACAUCUCUUCCCCUGUUACUUGUCUCAACAUAGAAAGAUGAGAGUCGAGAAGCUAAUGGAGAAACUGGAGAGAAGUAAACGUUGGCAUAAAUCGAUGACUCAGUAGUAACAAAAUUAUAGUUGUCAUGUAAGCAUAAUAUAGGAUGCUUUUUGGCCUUCAUGGAUUCAAAGAGGACAGACAUGAUAAGGAUCUAACUUUAUAGGGUUUGGUUUAAUCGGAAGAGACAAUGCCACACCCGACUUGACCUUUUGCCAUCAAAAUUUGGUCCCACAACGCGAUAGUUUGCGAACAAAAUCGUCGCCACUGAAUUGAUGAAACUCUACUCUGUUCUGACACGCUCAUUUCAGCUUUCUUUUUGUCACACUCAUCUCAACUUGGAGAGGAAACAAGAACAUCAUAUUACGUUUCAUAUUUGGCAGCAAACAAGGAUAUCGUGUUAGAUUAAACGAAAUCCAAGCAAGUAGGCAACCAACGAGGCAAGGAGUCAGUACAGUAAGCAAGAAAUGGUUUAUAGAAAUCUCUGUUUCUCUCUCUCGCCAAUGCUCACUGCAGGACUGCUUCCCAAGCAUGAAAAGAACUCCUACCUCUGCCGCCUCACUUGACAUCCCCUUCUCUCUUUCUCUCUCUCUGAAUCUGUGAUCGGUCCGAAGAGCUCGACAAUGGGCGUUCUGCGGCACCGGCGCCGCCGUCUCUCCGCUGCCAUCGCCUUCUUCGUCCUUGCCGUAGCUCUCGGUGAGAGUACUGAGUACUGACCAAAGCCAACAUCCCGUUUCCGCUCUCUGUUUCUAGUUUCUUCAACGAUCUCUCUUUUCCUCUCUUUAGCUACGUCUCUGCUGAACUAUGAUGCCUUCGGCUCAAAAAAAAUCCCACCUUGCAUGCGUGUUCGUAUUCUAGAUCUCAUCUUUCUUGCUUUCACCAGAUAGCCACUUCCUUCCGAUCUUCUCGUGGUUCAAGGUUAUCCAUAAUAGAUCCUUCAGUGCUCUCAACAACUGACCCCUCUUUUAUCUUCUUAUUGCCUCCCAAAGGGGAGAAAAGAUCAACCAGAAACCGACGCCGUAACCUUCAUCACCAAUCUUGCUUCUUCGUCACCAGCAGCCAUUAGUGCUCUCUGAAAAAUGUUCAUGAAGUGCUCUAUCAUCAUAAAACCAUUUCUAUCCUUUUUCUGUAGUCAUGUUAGCUCUAUUAACCACUUGGUUCCCGUCUGAUGUUGAUUUAUAGGGAGUACAUUGGUAGGAAUUGCUCAGGAAGUGGGAGACACAGGGCUGAGGCCUUCGGAAAGAGAGAACUGGGUAGCUCGGAGGCGACUAGCCGGCCCUGGGUCGUCGCCGCCUACCUGCUGGGCUCGCUGCGGCCGGUGCUUCCCCUGCCGGCCGGUUCACGUGGCGAUCCAGCCGGGCCGAAGCGUUCCGCUCGAGUACUACCCGGAGGCAUGGCGAUGCAAGUGCGGCAGCAAGCUCUUCAUGCCAUGAGAACCGAGGAGGAACGAAAACACAGAUUGCUGAGGGUAAACGCCACGGGCGAUGCGUUCUUGUAUCAUUUGCACAAUUCUUAGAUACGCCUGCAAUAUGAAUUGGUUCAGCUUCGUCUUCGUUGUCGUCAUCAACUCUUUCUCGUAAAUGAUAGUCAAAAGUCGAAUUCGAGGAAGCAAUCGAGGAGAUUCUAUUCGACUAGACCGCGAAAUGUAGCCGUGAAAUAGCAAUUAAAUAGGCCUUGUUAUCUUUAGCAUAUUAUAGAUGUCUUCUCCGCAACAAACGGCGUCCACAGCUCCUCAUCUCCAUUGAUUUCGUUACUCUAUAACAUGCACGUAUGGACCGAAGAAGAGAAUCCAAAUCGACCAAUCCUGGGGAAUUGGGGACACGUGUUUCUCAUGAAGUGAUCAAAUAACAUGGUAUUGGUGUAGAUGCAAAACUUCGUGACUUAUAGUAGUAUCAUAAUUUAUUAUCACUAAUUUGAAUGUUAAAAUUAUUUUUUGAUUUUUAUUUUUAUGUUUGCGUUAGUAACAUUGACAUUGUUAGAGUAAAUAGAUUAUAUGUUUUACUUUCAUAAUUAUAAAGAUGUUAAUAUAUUUUUUAAAAAUAUAAAAAUUGAGAUACUAAAGAUAAUUAUCUUUAAUUAACUCUCCGAGGAGUUGUAUAUUAUAGGAAACCAAAAACAGACAUAGAGUCUAGUCUAAUCAAAAGAAGAAAUCAUGCUUGAGAUAAACGAAGAAAUGGAUUAAUAAUUAGUUUAAUUGUAAAGGAAUGUCGAUUCGUGAUCUUAAUAAUUUUGUUGGGACUUAAAAAUCCAUAUCAUAUUCACGAUGCAUCAAUUUUUUUAGGUUCAACAUUUUUAGCUUCGUGACAGUGAAUGAUUUGGAAGGCAAGAAGUAGCGAUUCUAGUAAAAGAAAACUCAAUUAAAUGCAUGAUAAUUAUGAGAUUUCUUAGACGGCCUCUAAGAUUAAAGAACCAUAGAAUAUCCCGAAUCUCAGAGAAAUAUUCGUUUUUAUCAAUUUUUCAUUCAAUUCAUUUCAAAUAAGUCGUAUCUUGUUCAAACCAAUGAAUAGAGCUGAGGUUAUAGUUAAAACAACUAGUAGAAAACCGAAAUAACUAGUUAUAGUAAGCAUGAAAGAGCUAAAUUAGAUAUGUUCUUUUGCUACAUAUGUUGAUAAAACACUUACCUAAGUUUCAAUUCUUAUAAAAUACGAUGGCAAGAAAAAAUCAAUUGACAGAAUAUAUAUAUGGUCUUUAUGAUUGUGAUGGAGCUAUCUAGGCUCAAUUUUAUACUAUAUGAUUCUAUCCAUCUGAUCAUAAUAUAUUUUGUCGAUCACAGAUAGUUGGAGAUUUACUUACGAGACAAACAUAGAUGGGUGUCAAUAGUUGAUCCAUAAUACUCAUAUAAUGCUUAAAGAAGAGAUUUUGAGUGAAGUAGAGGUGGAAUCUCUCUUUCAUGCUGGAGGAGUUCUCCCGAAAGGAGAAUGAGAAUAAGAUCACAUUCUUUAUGGAGAAUAGAUAAAAAGUCAAAAUCCCUUGGAAGAAGGAAAGAGAUCUCAUUUUGGAAUUUGGGAUAGAAACGAGUUUCUUUAUAAUUGAUGUGCUCAAAAUUAAAAGAAUAUAGAUAAAUUGUUGGUGAUAAAUGUAAUCUUCUAAUAUCAUGAAUCAGACGACAAAAUGACAUUAACAUCUUCUAGUGCCAAUGACUAGAUUGACAUGAUCUUAACAUCAUCUUUGACGAUAGAGACAUGUGGAUUACAGAGAUACCAAUGCAUCAUGCUCUAUUACCGACUUAUCUGAAUAAUAAGAUAACCAUUGCCACUACGAACAAGUUAAAGUUGAGAUGAAUACAUCAUCAUUUGGAUACUCAUCAAAAAGGAAAACACUUUCUUUUUUUCUUGCCGAGGUAAACUACAAGAUAUAGGACAAAUAAUGACAUCGGGUUCGACUUCGCUUAUGAUAUUUGAACGCAAGUACAAAAUCUAAUUAAAAAUAGAAAUUUCUUGAUUUGCAAUAAUGUUGGUAAAGGUGCAUGGAACAAUGUGAGUGAUGCCCUCGGCAAUGCUAAUUGUGCGUCUUCAUCUCAUCCGGACUAUUCCAAAAUUUUCUAUUUCUCCCUUGCAAAUUAUUGAGUGAAUCAUCGUUUUGUAUUAUAAAAAAGAAAAGGUCCGGCUGUAAUUAGGACUCAUAGGAAAGAAAAUAGAUUUACUAAGAAAUCAAAUACACAUUAUUGAAAGAAAAAAUAAUUAUCAAGAACUAAAAAUCGAUCACCACAUAAAUAUGCUUUUUUUUUGGGGGAGGGGGGGGGGGGGAUUCAAGGAUAAUAAAUAUAAAUAAAUGGAAGCUCAUCUUGAAAUCUAAUUCAUUCAAAACUAUUCAAAUCUAUAGGGCUAAUUACAUAUUACCCGAUAUAGUUAGCUAUCUUUAGCGUUUCGUUCUCUACCCUAUAAAAAGUUACAUUGACACUCUUAUAAUUAUGAAAGUGAAACAUAUAGGUCUAUUUACCCUAAUGAUUUAAAUUUUAUUUAUGAAAACAUGAAAACAAAUGACGAAAAGAUAAUUUUAACAUUUUGCGGCAAACGGUGUUGGUGGUGGUAGAUGACAACACGGAUAGAGUUGCUUGGCCACUUUCGACAAUUAUAAGAUCCGCUCUCACCGUGAUACCAAUCGCCUCCACGAGGAGCGCACUAUCGACCUCAUCGUCGCUUAUCCCGUGUUGCUUUGAAUUUGCAUUGAUGUUGACGUAGUUGUUGAGCAACACUAUGUUGAUGUCCAUGUAGAUGGUAGUGGUCGCAGCAGCAUCUAAGGUAAUGAUUGUGGCCACCUCAUUGCUGACUCAUUGGGUGGAUCUCAGCCUCGACCCAAAGCUAGGGUCACUUGAGCUUAUGUUGCUCCCUCCAUUGUUGCAUCAAUUUCGGCAUCACCUCUUAUUGAGUAUCCCUUUCAUCGCUCUAUAAUUGCGUCAAUACCGAUGUGUGGAGGGACUCGAGAACGAUAGGGUGGAGGCCACAACAUAUGGUAGAUGCUGAGGCAAGAGUACUUCCUACGUCGUCGAUGGCAAAGAGAAGGCAACGAUGGUGACGAUGGAUGAGGUAGAAGCGCCAACAGAGGUAGAGGUUAUGUUCACCUCCACCAUAGUGGCAAGGUUGUGUUUACCUCCAGUAUCAUCCUCCUCAUCUUCCUUUACCUCUAUCUCUGCUAGUGCUUCUACCUCAUUUAUUAUGACCAUUACUACCUCUUCUUUACCAUUAAUGGCGUCAGCGGUACCCUCGCCUCCAAGUAUAUCAUCAGUUGUGGCCUCUACCCUGCUGUCCUCGAGUCCCUCCAUCUAUUGGUGCAUACACAGAUGUCGAGCGCAUAUCGCUCUACAUCUAAGUCGAUGUUUAUGCAGAUAUCGAGUGAUUUUUUAUGUCACUCAAUAGCUACGUCAAUGUCGACGCAAAUGCAGAGUGAUGAAAGGGCCACUCGACGAGAUAUGAUGCUAGAACUGACGUGGCAGCGAGGGGAGCGAGAGGAGCUCUGAGGUGAAAGCUAGGAUCCGCUCAAUGGGUCAGCGAUGAGAUGGCCACCACCAUCUGCAUCAAUGCUGACACAAUUAUCGCUCGGCAAUUGUGCAUGUCGACAUAGAUGUAAAGCGGUGCAGGGUGGCGGCGAUGAGAUCUGUGAUGUGCUCCUCGUGAAGGCGAGUGGCAUUGUGGUGAGAGUUGACCUUAUCGUCAUCAAAGAUGGCCAGACAACUAUGUUAGCAUCAACGCUGAUAGCACCGUUGUUCACCACCAUCGAUGUCAUCGGCUAGUGAAUGUUAAAAUUAAUUUUUUACCUUUUAUUUUCAUAUUUUUAUCGUUAAAACUAACAUCGUCAAAGUAAAUGGACUUAGAGGUUUCACUUUCUUAAUCAUAGAAAUAUCAAUAUAAUUUUUUAAAGUAUAAGAACCGAAACAAUAAAAUAACUAACUAUAUAAGAUAAUAUAUAAUUAUCUUAAAUCUAUAAAUCAAUUUACCUCAAAUAGAGUUAUCAAAAUGAGCAUAAACCCCUAAAAUUAAAUUAAUCCAACACGUUGGGUCGGAUUCAUUUCAAGACGCGGGUCACAUCACAACAAUAUCUCCCCCACCCUCUCUCUCUCUCUCUCUCUCUCUCUCUCNNNNNNNNNNNNNNNNNNNNNNNNNNNNNNNNNNNNNNNNNNNNNNNNNNNNNNNNNNNNNNNNNNNNNNNNNNNNNNNNNNNNNNNNNNNNNNNNNNNNNNNNNNNNNNNNNNNNNNNNNNNNNNNNNNNNNNNNNNNNNNNNNNNNNNNNNNNNNNNNNNNNNNNNNNNNNNNNNNNNNNNNNNNNNNNNNNNNNNNNNNNNNNNNNNNNNNNNNNNNNNNNNNNNNNNNNNNNNNNNNNNNNNNNNNNNNNNNNNNNNNNNNNNNNNNNNNNNNNNNNNNNNNNNNNNNNNNNNNNNNNNNNNNNNNNNNNNNNNNNNNNNNNNNNNNNNNNNNNNNNNNNNNNNNNNNNNNNNNNNNNNNNNNNNNNNNNNNNNNNNNNNNNNNNNNNNNNNNNNNNNNNNNNNNNNNNNNNNNNNNNNNNNNNNNNNNNNNNNNNNNNNNNNNNNNNNNNNNNNNNNNNNNNNNNNNNNNNNNNNNNNNNNNNNNNNNNNNNNNNNCCCCUACCCUCUCUCUCUCUCUCUCUCUCUCUCUCUCUUUCUCUUAGGCUCGCACUAAUUCGAUUCCUCCGGAGAUUUCGACACUCUGCCUCUCUUUUCCUGCGAAAUUGUCACAAAUCCCAUAAAAAGUUGGGUCCACUUUGCCUCAGGGUUCCAUUCCUCGUUGAUUGUUCUUUGUGUCGACGAACAUGAUGCUUUAUUAUUUGUGUGUGUGGGGCCCAUCGUAAAGACGUGUAUGAGACUUCAUCUCGAGCAUUCUACUCUUUCAUAUACAAGUCUCAUCCAACUUCCAACGAAUCGAAGAUUGAUGCAACCAUCACGGAUUUGUAAUUAUCGACUCUAAAUCUUGUGUAGAUCCUUCUUGAUUUCCAUUUUCAUGGAAAUUAUGUCAUAAAAAUGCUCAUUUUUAGUGAGUUAAAUAAUUUAAGUAAUAAGAAAAUAAUUUAAAAAAUAAAAUACGAUCGUGAACUUAAAAAAUAUUAAUACUUAUCUAAUCAUGUUGUUUACUUAAUUACGAUUAAUACUCAUUCUCGUUCGAUGAUUUAUGAAGUGGUAUCCCUUUGGAUAUGACUAAUGAUAAAACUAUCCCUUUCUAUCAAUUUCAUGAUGCAUCUCUUUGUGGCCGUGCCAAAGUAUAUACGUUCUGUCGAAACGAACGCCUCUCUGCCCAUCAUCCGCCGUGCUCGCCAUCCGCACGAAUCACAAAGCGUCUCGAUGCUGGUAGAAGCAAACGGGUUUAAACACUCCACUCUCUUCAACUUUUACUUAAAAUGCUUCUCCGAAGUCGCCACGUGUCAUCCACACUCGUCUGGAACAUUCCUCCCUUCUCUCGCCCGCACCCGUCCCCGACUGUCAUUAAGCAAGCCCGCCCGCGAAGAAAGGAAGAAGCGCUUGCGGUAUCCCUCGGAGAACAACUCGAUCGCUUCGUCGUCGCUUGGUGGGUUCCGGAGAGAAUGUGGGCGCGGCCGGGGUACUGGAAGGGUAGGGACGUGGAGGCGGCGGGGGCGCCGCCGCUGUAUCCCAUGAUGCUGGAGCCGCCGCAGCUGCGGUGGGCCUUCAUCCGCAAGAUCUACACCAUACUGGCCGUACAGAUGCUGCUCACCGUCGCCGUGGCCGCCGUCGUCGUCUCCGUUCCCCCCGUCUCCCGAUUCUUCGUCUCCUCCGGCGCCGGCCUCGGCCUAUACAUAUUCCUCAUCAUCCUUCCCUUCAUCGGUAGGUUUCCCUCUUCCCACCCACCUUCUAUUUCUCAUUAAUUUUGUUAAUUUUACUUGCAAAAAUAAGUAAUAAUCGCCUCGAAAUUGCGGGAUAUGCUUCAAAUUGUGGCAGUGUUGUGUCCCCUGUACUACUAUUACCAGAAGCACCCCUUAAACUUCCUUCUCCUCGGCGUCUUCACGGUAUCCAUCAGCUUCGCAGUUGGAUUGACGUGUGCCUUCACCAGCGGUAGUCACACUCCUCACCCCUCCCUUCCUUUCCUUUAUUCUUAUUGGAAAUCCUGCUUCAUUUUAAGGGGGGAAGGAAAAAAAAAAGAAGUCAUUUUUUUGCUGAUGGCACACUGAAGAGAUUAGACUCGGUUUCGAAUUCGCUGCGCAGGGAAGGUGAUUCUCGAAUCAGUAAUCCUCACGGCAGUCGUGGUGGUGAGCCUCACGCUCUACACCUUCUGGGCUGCUUCCAAAGGCCAUGACUUCAGCUUCCUCGGGCCUUUCCUCUUCUCUGCCGUCAUGAUACUGAUGGUGUUUGCUCUCAUCCAGGUACUGUUGGCCGCCAUUGCAUACGUGACUACAUGGAAAGUGAGCAUUCUAUGUGACUCAUGUGAUUGCAUGGUGUCUUCAGGUGUUUUUUCCCAUGGGAAGGAUCUCUGCUAUGAUUUAUGGAGCGCUAGCUGCGGUCAUAUUCUGCGGAUACAUAAUCUACGAUACCGAUAACCUGAUCAAACGCUACUCCUACGAUGAAUACAUCUGGGCUGCCGUAGCACUGUAUCUCGAUAUCACCAACCUUUUCCUCUCUUUGCUCACCCUAUUUAGAGCAUCCGAGGGAUGAGAUGGAGGAGUUUGUGGGUCUUGCAAGGGUGUUUGCACCAAAUCUCUCUAUCUGUCUUGUCUGAGAUAAAUUUUAUGAUUGUUACAUUAAUCCGUUCAUAAUUCUAUUUUUUUUAGAAAAUAAAAUAUUAGUGAUAAAUAUGAUAUGAAUAGGAUUACUGAAAGGUAAGAUCAUCGAACUCUCACGGUUAUGAGCAUGAUAGAUUAUUAUUUUAUACUCAAAUUAUCGUGAGAAGAAGUUUUAAAGAUAAUUAUAUAUAUCUUGAAUAGGAUUUGUAGUAAGUUAAUUCUAUAAUUUUUUUUUAAGUUAUAGAUGGAUAGAAAACUUAACUUAAGAUAUUUAUAUAUUUAUAAAUAUCUUAUAUAGAUAGGAAUCAUCAAUUCAUAUGAAAAAAAAUUAGAUUUAAGGAUUAUUUUAGAUAGUUUAUUAUUUAUUCAUAAAAAUUCGAAAGGAUACAUAUUUAUUUGUCCAAAUCAUAGUAUAUGGAUAAUUAAAUAUGAUAAUAUAAGAUUUUUUAAAAAAAAUAAUAAAUCAGUGAGAGUGAAAAUAUUAAAAUUUAAUUUUGAUAUUCAAGAGAUACAAUUUGAUACUCUUUUAUCAUUUGAGAUAUUGUUAUUACUUAAAUUAUUAAAUGAUUUGAUAAAGAUAAAUAACAAAAUAAUAUUAUUGAAUUCACAUAUAAUAUUGAUAUCACUGUUAAUGAUUUUGUAAAAUAAUCAUAAUCAACAGUUUUGAUAAUAUCUCGAAGGGAAGGAAGACUUAUCAUUUCUAAUCAUUAUAUAAUAUAUCUACACAUAACAUAGGAAUUAAAAGGGUCUCUUAUUAUUUUCAUAAGUUAUUAAAAAUAAUUAUUUUAAAAAGUGAUAUAAUAUAAUAAAAGAAGAGUUAAAAUCAAUAAUCAUAAUAGUUUUUGAGAACUCGUCGAAUUAUCUAAUAAUUAUAAAAGUAUCUGUUAUAUAAAUAUAAUUCAAUAAAUAAUAUCGAAUGACAUGAUAAAAAAUUAACUCAUUAUGAUUUUGAGUUAUAUUAUAAGAAUGUAAAAUGAAGUUUUCUAAUUGAGAAUAUAGAUUUAUAUUUGUUAAUCUAAACGAUUCACAAAGAAAAUAAAAAUAUAUAAAAUUUGAUAUGCAAAUUUUAAAAAUCUAUUUAUUACCUUAAACAAGCCUCCAUGGUAUAAAGCUUCUUAAUAUCAUUACAUUUUUCAUAUUUAAAUAAAAUAUUAUUAAUUGAUAUUUAUAUAUAAAGAUCAAUGAGAGAAAGUUUAUUAUAUUAGUCUUAUAUAUGGAUAAUAUUUUAUUUGUCAAUGAUCUUAGUUUAUUAUAUUGAGCUUACAAAUUUUUCAUAAAGAUUUUAAAAUAGUUGAUAUCAAUGAUACAUCUUAUAUUAUUAGUAUUGAGAUAUUUAAGAAUAUAUUUUAAGGAUUAUCAGGAUUCUCUUAAAAAAGAUAAUUGAUCGAGUCUCGGAGAGAUUAAGUAUAAAACUUUGUACAACAAAUGAUAAAAGUAAAAAAAAAUUAAUCAAAAUAAAUAUUUUUUAACGACUUAGAAAAAAUCAAAUAAAGAAAAAUAUUUUAUUUUUUCUUUAUCUAUGCAUCGUUGGAAGUUUAUUGUAUGCUCAAACCUAUGCCGGAUCAUAUAUCAAUUUUACGGUUAAAAUAUUGGUUAUAUACUAGAGUUAUCCGAGAAUGAAAAUACUAAAAGACUAUAAAGAAUAUAAUAAGAUAUCUAAAGGUGACGAAGUAUUAUAUCAUCAUAUAUAUAUGAAAUUAGAUCAACUUGAAAUGAUAGUGUUUCAAGUGUUGAUUCUAUAAAUUACCUCAAUAAUAGGUAGUCCACGUUAUGAUUUAUAUUUAUAUCAAUUGGAGAGAUAAUUUAUAAGAAAAAAUAUAAAGUAAUAUAUUAUUAUGUUUUUAAUUAUAGAAGUUGAUUUUAUAACAGGCUUUGAUGCCAUGAAUCAAGUUUUAUGAUUAUAAAUUUUUAACUUAAGACUUAGUGUGAUUAGACUCAAUUGUCAAAUCAUUGAAGAUAUUUUGUGAUAUAUCACAUUAGUUUUUUUCUUUGAGAAUGACAAAUACUAUUAUAACUCUAUGUAUUGUAGUAUAAAGUACUUGAUGAUUAGAAAAAAGAGUCUAAAAAUAACUAAUAUCAAUUAAUAACUUAAGUUUAACUAUAUUACUUGCUAAUCCAUUCAUUUAGAUUUAUAGCCUAAAAUAUUUAAAAAAAUAUAUGUUCUUAUGAUUGGAUUUAUGAGAAACCCAUAAAACAUAUGGUAAUACAUAUUUGAGUAGACAUUAUAAUUGACAUUCUUGCUAAUGUAUUUAAAAUUAUUUUUUUCUAUUAUUCGAUUCACAUUUAUGUAGAUACAUAUUAUGGUUAAAUAUGAUGAUAUAAUUAUCUUGACAAGAUAAAUUAUAUGGGUCAUUUUGGACUGUAUAAAAAAAAGCUAAUAGGGUUAUAGUACAUAGAAGGAAGUAUGACAUUGAUAACUUAACUCGUAUUGCUAGUCAAAUUUAAUAUAGUAUUAUUAUAUUUAUUAGACUUAUUGACCUAGUUUUUUAAUUCGUGCACAUAUAAAUGAUUUUAAAAUUUUAAAAUCUAAUUAGAUAAAUUAAUUUUAAAUAAAAUUUAUUUUAUUUAUUUUACUAAUUAAUGGACUAAACGAGAGAGUGUUAGAUUAUAUGAUCCUAUCUAAUUAGAAAAGAUAUAUUAUAGACAUGAUUGGAUUCUGAUUAUGAUUAUCGAAGAAAGGCGAGCCACAUAAAAAAAAAAAAAUACACAUCGUAAAUUUAGAUAUAUAUUGUUAUUUGAUUUCAGAUUUUAACAUUAAAUUUUUUAUAAUAUAAUAUUAUAUUAUAUUAUGAUUUUUAUAUUUAUAAAUUUUCUUUUGACAUCUUAAUUAUACUAUGAUCUAGACUACCCAUCGUGAUUGAGAUGCCAUACCAAACAAUAAAACAUAUUGAGAUGCCAUACCAAACAAUAAAACAAGACUUCUGUGGAUAUAUACCUGCCGUCAGAGUCACCAUCAGACAAAGACUUCUGUGGAUAUGUACCUGCCGUCAGAGUCAUCCAUCAGAGCAAUGAUCCUUUCUAACUCUAAAGCCCAUCUAAUUAUUUCAUAUUUAUGUUAAUUUAAUGAAUUGACAUUAAUAUGCAUUGCGAACAUGUGAAGUUCGAAAGAAACUAAAAAAACUCGUUCACUUUCUUUCCUUUCCUGGCCGCAGGUUAAAGACGGAGAGUCAAAUCAAAUAUUCAAAAAAGAAAAAAAAAAAGAGAUUAAUAAUAAAAAAAUAUAGCAAAAAAAUAAAUAAAUAUAAAAUUAAUAUAAUUUGAUAAAAUUUUAUCUAUAUCCAUGAAUAAGAUGCUUGAGUUGUCUUAUUCAAACACAUCAAGCACCAAAAACAUUCCCGUCGCCAAGAGAAACCGAAAGCAUUAAAAAUAUUCCUUAGGUCACUUUUCACGAUCAGAUCGGGUGGCCGAAACUUAAAUUGACAUUUAUUUGAUACAACAAAGAUUGGACAUUGUAGAAUUAGAGAGACCACAUGAAAUUUAUUUGACAGAUCGGAUGAUAACGGAAGCUUCGGCUCACGACUCGGUCAAACUUCUAUCGCUGCGGUGUCCUGCUGUGUGUUCCCUACGCGGGUGGCAAGCAGCUCGUCGAUCAGGCUAUCGAGAUCCCGGUGCGAUGAUCCGCCCUUCGCCACCGCCGCCCUCGCCGCCACUGACAGCUCCAUGGCCUUUUUCCUUGCCGUCUCCCCCUCCCCUCCCGCCUUCAUGAACCCGGACACCUUCCUCGCGAUUGCUUCCCCAGGCACCACAGUCUUCUCGUGUUCUGCCACGCUCCGCUGCCCCUCCCACACCCGCUUCCCUGCCCCCGCCACCUCAACCACCAGCCUCUCGUUGAUGAACUGCUCGAACACCAGCGGCCACGUCAGCAUCGGUUUCCCCGCCGCGACAGCCUCCAGCACCGAGUUCCACCCGCAGUGGCUCAGGAACGCCCCCACCGCCCUGUGGCCCAGGAUGGCCACCUGCGGCGCCCACCCCCUCACCACCAGGCCUCGCCCGGCCACCCUGUCCUCCCAUCCCUCCGGCAUCCAAUUACUCUCUUCCUCGGAGCCGUCCCCGUCCUUUCUAACUGCCCAGAGGAACGGCUGGCCCGACGCCUCCAGCCCCGCUGCCAGCUCCCUGAGCUGCGCCGCUGUGAAGUGGCACCAGCUCCCGAAGCAAACGAACAGCACCGACCCUUCCUCCCUCGUGUCCAACCAUGCCAUGCAUCGGCCGCCAUCCUCCUUUGCCGCCGUGCCACCACCCCUUUCGACGCCGCCGCACGAGGCAAGCGCGACGGGUCCCACGAACCAGGCCUGCCGGGCAUCCACCCGACGGUAGUCGUCACAGUACUCCGGCUCGAACCCGUAGAAGGUGUUGACCACCACGCCGUGACAGGUCAGCUGCGCCUUCUUCAUCCGGUCCCAUGUGUCGCUCAUGUGGUUCUGCUCCAACAAGAACUCGGGCAGCUCGGCGCGCGGGAUCUCGAUGGGCCGGCCCGGCAGAUCCGGGACGGCGACGACCUGACGCUCCUGGAUCUCCGAUCGCAAGCGGAAGAGGUUGUUCAUCACGAGCUGGGGAAACACCCCGACGGCAUGGAAGGUAACGCGUGGAAUGCCAAGGUCGGCGGCGAUGGCGGUGGUCCACCAGUAAGGGAUGUCGGCGACGACGGCGUCGGGGCGAUGGCGACGGAGGAUCUCCUCGUGAGCGGUCUGGGCGAGGUCGACGGCCUUAUACACGCGCCAGGACUCGGAGGCAGGGGCGGUG
Molecule: long non-coding RNA, 15345 nt
Filed under: Musa acuminata (dwarf banana)
Lineage: Eukaryota; Viridiplantae; Streptophyta; Magnoliopsida; Zingiberales; Musaceae
Description: long non-coding RNA (MACU_LNC004227)
Source: RNAcentral